GGGAAGUUGGCUCAGUGGUAGAGUGCUUGACUCACAUGCAUGAGGCCCUAGGUUCGAUUCCUUGGCACCACA
Molecule: non-coding RNA, 72 nt
Organism: Dipodomys ordii (Ord's kangaroo rat)
Lineage: Eukaryota; Metazoa; Chordata; Mammalia; Rodentia; Heteromyidae
Source: Rfam